GGAAUUGGCAUAAACGAAAUAACCGCAGAAUCCAGAGGGUUUCGCCAUUUUACGCAAUUUCCAUCAAUCGUGAGAAAUGCGUCGGCACAAAACUUCUAAUCUUGAGGCCACAGGUUCGAAUCCUGUCGGGCGCGCCA
RNAcentral lists this transfer RNA (137 nucleotides) under Novosphingobium marinum. Its description in RNAcentral is "tRNA-Arg". The record is from RNAcentral. Lineage: Bacteria; Pseudomonadati; Pseudomonadota; Alphaproteobacteria; Sphingomonadales; Sphingomonadaceae.